This 514-nucleotide ribosomal RNA is filed under the name uncultured bacterium. RNAcentral describes it as "partial 16S ribosomal RNA". It matches the Rfam family "Bacterial small subunit ribosomal RNA", at positions 30 to 523 of the family's 1533-position model. The record is from RNAcentral.
AUUGAACGCUGGCGGCAUGCCUAAUACAUGCAAGUCGAGCGAACAGAUGAGAAGCUUGCUUCUCUGAUGUUAGCGGCGGACGGGUGAGUAACACGUGGGUAACCUACCUAUAAGACUGGGAUAACUCCGGGAAACCGGGGCUAAUACCGGAUAAUAUUUUGAACCGCAUGGUUCAAUAGUGAAAGGCGGUUUCGGCUGUCACUUAUCGAUGGACCCGCGCCGUAUUAGCUAGUUGGUAAGGUAACGGCUUACCAAGGCGACGAUACGUAGCCGACCUGAGAGGGUGAUCGGCCACACUGGAACUGAGACACGGUCCAGACUCCUACGGGAGGCAGCAGUAGGGAAUCUUCCGCAAUGGGCGAAAGCCUGACGGAGCAACGCCGCGUGAGUGAUGAAGGUCUUCGGAUCGUAAAACUCUGUUGUUAGGGAAGAACAAAUUUGUUAGUAACUGAACAAGUCUUGACGGUACCUAACCAGAAAGCCACGGCUAACUACGUGCCAGCCGCCGCGGUAA